AGUGAACGCUGGCGGUAGGCCUAACACAUGCAAGUCGAACGGCAGCACAGUAAGAGCUUGCUCUUACGGGUGGCGAGUGGCGGACGGGUGAGGAAUACAUCGGAAUCUACUUUUUCGUGGGGGAUAACGUAGGGAAACUUACGCUAAUACCGCAUACGACCUACGGGUGAAAGCAGGGGAUCUUCGGACCUUGCGCGAUUGAAUGAGCCGAUGUCGGAUUAGCUAGUUGGCGGGGUAAAGGCCCACCAAGGCGACGAUCCGUAGCUGGUCUGAGAGGAUGAUCAGCGACACUGGAACUGAGACACGGUCCAGACUCCGACGGGAGGCAGCGGUGGGGAAGAGUGGACAAUGUGGGGAAUACUGAUCCAGCCAUGCCGCGUGGGUGAAGAAGGGCUUCGGGUUGUAAAGCCCUUUUGUGGGGAAAGAAAAGCAGCAGGUUAAUACCCCGCUGUUCUGACGGUACCCAAAGAAGAAGCACCGGCUAACUUCGUG
Molecule: ribosomal RNA, 492 nt
Filed under: uncultured bacterium
Lineage: Bacteria
Description: partial 16S ribosomal RNA
Rfam family: Bacterial small subunit ribosomal RNA
Source: RNAcentral